AUUGAACGCUGGCGGCAUGGCUAAAACAUGCAAGUCGAACGAUCCCCUCGGGGAGAGUGGCGAAAGGGCGAGGAAUAGAAUCGAAUGUACCCCAAGGUGGGGGAUAGCCUCUGGAAACGGAGGGUAAUACCCCAUGUGCUCUACGGAGGAAAGGUUUACCGCCUUGGGAGCAGCGAUUCUCCUAUCAGGUAGUUGGUGAGGUAACGGCUCACCAAGCCGAAGACGGGUAGCGGGUGUGAGAGCAUGACCCGCCGCAUCGGGACUGAGACACUGCCCGGACUCCUACGGGAGGCUGCAGUAACGAAUCUUCCGCAAUGGGCGAAAGCCUGACGGAGCAAUGCCGCGUGUGGGAUGAAGCAUCUUCGAUGUGUAAACCACUGUCAGGGUCUAGGAAUACUGACCAGACCCAAAGGAAGGGCCGGCUAAUUCCGUG
Molecule: ribosomal RNA, 433 nt
Filed under: uncultured bacterium
Lineage: Bacteria
Description: bacterial SSU rRNA
Rfam family: Bacterial small subunit ribosomal RNA
Source: RNAcentral